Molecule: long non-coding RNA, 1627 nt
Organism: Nycticebus coucang (slow loris)
Lineage: Eukaryota; Metazoa; Chordata; Mammalia; Primates; Lorisidae
Exons: 4
Source: RefSeq, a predicted model, not a curated record
CUGGGACUGGGGCUGCGACGGCGGCGGCGGCGGCGCGCUGGGGCUGCUGUAGUCGGGGUAGCUGCCGCCGUAGCUCCGCAUCAUGGGGCUGGGUGAGGAGCCAUCUACAUGUUACUGUAAGACUUAAAAUUAGGUGGACUGUUCCUUGCAUCUUCUAUGACCCUAAUGUGACUCCUCAAACUGCACUUUUCUCCAAGGACCUUCUAUCUCUGGCUAGAUUAUCAAUUUCUCGAGGACAAAGCCUCUGUCUUCAAUCCCUCUGAUACCUUCCACCAUACUCAGAACAAUUUUGGACCCACAGUGGGCUCUGAACACUUAAUUGGCAAGAGAACUUUGUAGCUUUGAACGUAAACAUGUAGACUCUUGAUUAUUCUUGUUAGCUCAAGGACCAUCGCGUGAGCGUGAGAUUCACAGCUGUGGAGAGCAUUGCAGAGUUGCUUUGCGGGCACAUCACAGUAAAUCUUAGCCUGUGCUAUUCUAGCAUGGCACUUGUUUAUAAACAACACGAUUAUUAGUGCUGAUUCUACGCAAUUGGUUUCCCGUUGACCCCAACAGAAACAAUGCAAAAUAUUUACCCUUUCCUAAAGCGUAGUAAAACUCCUGUGGUUUUUGAAACCAGACCAAGAACACAUGUAGAAAAGCUCGUGGAUUAUUUUAAGUGAACUUAUUUUUUUUAAUCUCAUUAACUUUUCACCAUAUGCUGUUUAUUUUUAUAUCCUGCAUAGGCUGAAAGUGAAAAUAGACCAGGCCGCUGUGUUUCAUUUCAGGCACAUCAUUACCAGGAUGACACACGUGCACACACAACUCUGGGGAGUUCAUGGGAAACAAAGAUGAUAACGGGGCCUUUUAAAGAUGAGAAAAGAUUUUUAAAGUUCUGCAUGUUCCUUAACCAAGCAACCCAGGAGGCAAGCAGGAAAACUGCUUCCCACCACAUGGAGAAUGUGUUCCCAGUGGGGCUUCACAGUCUGUAGAAAGGAGGUGGAUUCACACCCCAGCUACACGUCUGCAGGCUGUGCAAGUUUUGGCAAUUUCCUUUACCUUGCCAUAUACCAGGAUAUAUGUGAAACACUAAAUAUCUAGUUUUUGACUAUGAAGGGUUAUGAAUUAAAUGAGAGAGCUUAUAUACACCACUUGACAUGUUGCCUAGAAUUAGUAGAGGAGGAGGUUUUGCAUGUGAGUGUAUUUUGAUUUCUAAAUAGAAUAGAUGUCUGUCGUGUGAUUUCGGGAAAACCAGGUAUAUGCCAUUCGACCCCCCACAUCUCUCUUGCUAUGUCAUUAAAAUUUCUCCAUUAAAGAUUUUUGGAUUUAUUCCUUUCUCCAAAGGCUUUGAGCCCUGUCAAAAUACAAAUUUGCUUCUACUGAGUAAUACCUUAAGCUUUUAUCAGUUAUUUACACUUUCUUAUGAACGUAUUUUGAAUCUAUUCCCCAAAGCCUGAUGUGAUACAGAAGAAGAGGCGAAGAGAAGGAGGAUGUGGGUGCCGGAGAGAAAGUGCAGAGUGGCCAGAGUGAAUGGGGACUGUGAUACGGGGGAGAAAUCUUAUUUAUUCACAAUAUUCCCCAGGACCACCCCUGCAUCUCAAUGAGCGGAAAGUAUGAAAUAGAAAACAUACCUAAAUAUUGAAAAAAC